UGAGCCAUCAUGCCCAGCCACCUGUCUAAGUGACAACUUCCCUGGGGAUCCGUUUCCUUGUUAAUAAUAGCUACCACUUCUAUGGUGCUUGGGACUUUACAUUGAUCAAUUUAUUUAAUUAUCACAACAAACUUCUGAGGUUGGUUCUGUUAUUCUCUCCAACCUGCAGAUGAGAAAACUGAGGUGCAAGAAGAUAGAUGACCCUUCCAAGGUCACUCAUCGGUUGGACCCAAAAUUGGAACCCAUAGAAUUGACCCCUGGAAUCUCCUUUCUCCUGAUAAAAUAGAAACAGUUGCUCCAACGGGACUGGGAUCCAACUAGGUCAUGAUCUGAGCCCCACAUUAUGGUAUGGACUCAACCACAACUUUUCUGCUACAAAUCAUCCUGUGAUUCUGUUUCACUCCAAGUCAAAGCUAAAAUUCUUCCCAAGGCCUAUGAGGCCCCACAUGAUCUGGCCCCCCACCUCUCUGGCCUUGCCUCUUUGCCUCCCCACUGCCCCCGCUUCACUCUUCUUCACGGAUGUCCUCAGUGGCACUCUCUGUCCCACCUCAGGGCCCUUGCACAUGCCGUGCCCUGCCUGGCACUCUUCCCUGGGAUUCUCACGGCUCUCUACCUGUUCCCUUUCAGGUCUCUGUUCUUUCCUCCUCUAUUUUUCCGCCUUAGCACUUACAGCUCUCUAACAUACCACAUAACUUGCUUAUUUAUCUUGCUAAUGGCCUGUGUUCCCCAACAAAAUAAAACCUCUGUGAGAUCAGA
Molecule: non-coding RNA, 756 nt
Organism: Macaca mulatta (Rhesus monkey)
Lineage: Eukaryota; Metazoa; Chordata; Mammalia; Primates; Cercopithecidae
Source: RefSeq, a predicted model, not a curated record